UCCGGUGUGGUGUAGCGGUAACAUUGUUGACUCUCAUAUCCUUGCUCAAGCAAGAUCUGUUUACUCAAUAGCCCGGGGUUCGAUUCCCCGCUCCGGAA
Cercophora scortea is the source of this 98-nucleotide non-coding RNA. Lineage: Eukaryota; Fungi; Ascomycota; Sordariomycetes; Sordariales; Lasiosphaeriaceae. The record is from the annotation of a GenBank genome assembly.